ACAUGCUUACAACAUAGCGUUAAUUCACCGGAUCCCAUUAGAACUUUGCAGUUAAGCGAGCUCAGGCUAGAGUAGUAUUGGGAUAGGUGACCGCCCAGGAAGUCCUAGUGUUUUACAUGCC
Molecule: non-coding RNA, 121 nt
Organism: Picea glauca (white spruce)
Lineage: Eukaryota; Viridiplantae; Streptophyta; Pinopsida; Pinales; Pinaceae
Source: Rfam